GGACCCGUCGUGUAGGGGUAAGCAUGGUUGCCUCUCACCCAGUCGGCCUGGGUUCGAUCCCAGAAGGUCCG
This 71-nucleotide transfer RNA is filed under the name Culex quinquefasciatus (southern house mosquito). It matches the Rfam family "tRNA". From Rfam's summary of the family: Transfer RNA (tRNA) molecules are approximately 80 nucleotides in length. Lineage: Eukaryota; Metazoa; Arthropoda; Insecta; Diptera; Culicidae. The record is from Rfam by way of RNAcentral.